ACUGCAGUUAAAAAAAAUCAAAACAAAUGAGGUGUGCCGUGGCUGAUAGUUUGUCACAUUCACAACUUUAUACAUGUGUUUAUUGACAAAUACUGAACAAAG
Thalassophryne amazonica is the source of this 102-nucleotide long non-coding RNA. RefSeq lists it as uncharacterized. The record is from RefSeq and is a predicted model, not a curated record. NCBI's taxonomy places the organism in Eukaryota, Metazoa, Chordata, Actinopteri, Batrachoidiformes, Batrachoididae. The transcript is spliced from 3 exons.